CACUGAAACCCUAAAGCAGGAAAGAGGUAGAAGGGAGGCCAGCUGUUCCGGGCAAUCCUCGAGCACCCUGGAGAGAGAUGAAGAAGACAAGGAAGGGCCAUUAGAACACAUCACUGUGGACCCAGCUCCUAAAUGAAGCCCAAGUGCAGUGAAGCCCAGGUUCAGCCACAGCCCCCUGCUCACCUGAGGCCCAGGAGGCCCACGCUCACCAGGACGACCAGGUUUUCCAGCUUCCCCCUGAGAGGGAGAGAAAAGACCAUCAUGCCUCUGCCUCCCCACCACCGCCUAGGGGCUGGAAAAGUGGAGAAGGUCUCAGUCUUCUUUGGAUUGUUGCAGGUCAGGUUUGGGGGCCCAGAAUCUUAUCUUUGAAUCUAGAGCUCAGUUUAAAUCUACAGUGAAACCUUCGUUUGGUGAAAUCUGAGUGCCUCUAAAGGAAUUUCUGUCUACUUCUGUCACCAGCAUUUUAAUUUCACCAUCUGCGCACCAAUUUCCCCAAAGGGAUGGGGUUGGGGAUUGCUCUAAGGUGGCUGGGGUGAGGAGAACAGUCACUUUGUUGGGGACAUGGAAUCAUCUCACUAAGCGAAAAGAUCAUUGUUCCAGGGCAGUCCGUGCAUCAGAGAGGACUUGCCCUCCUUCCUCUGAGUAUCGUUCCCAAAUGUGGUGGAGUGGAAAUUGCAGGACCCAACCCAUGGAGGCCAUGGGGUCAGAUGGUAUCUUCUUGCUGGGGAUACUUACAUCAUCUCCAUUCUUUCCAGGGGGACCUGGGGGACCUCGGGGACCCAUGGGACCCUAGAAAAGAUAGAAGAGGUGGUUAGAAUAUGGAUAAGAAAAAAAGAAGGGGAAGGCUGGGAUUGAAGGGAAGAGGUAAGGAAGACCCCAGGCCUGGGAGUUCUUCUAUAGGAGAGUCUGUGUGUUUGUAGAAGGAGUAUGAAUCUGUAUAGAGAGUGCUUACUGAAGCUCCAGGCUCGCCAGGCUCACCAGGGGGACCUUGGAAGCCUUGGGGACCCUUGAGAAGAAGGAAAAAGAUGGGUUAGAAGACAAGUCCCUGUCAACCUUCUCCAAUCUUACCAAGAGAUCUCUGAGCAUCUCUCCUGCCCUCAUCCCAGUCUUCCCUCCAAAAGACCAAAGCCCAAGGAGGCAUAUGAAGACGUCCUGGAUACUCACAGGUGCACCAGGGGGGCCAGGGAGACCACGAGGACCAGAGGGACCCUAUAGAGGGAGAAGAAAGGGGGGUCAUGGUGAUCCCUCUGUAGGAAAGCAUGUGGAUGUAGUCAUUCAUGCCUGUUGGGACCACCCAGUCGUCCUGCAUCCUUUCUGGACUCUGAGGUCCCAAAGGUGAUCUGGACCUCCCAAGCUGUCUAUACCAGCCGCCUAUGCCCACCUCCUCUGGAUACCCAUUCUCUCUUCUGUCAUCCAUGCUCCCCCUGCUGGCUCACCAUGGGGCCAGGCACGGAAAUUCCUCCGG
RNAcentral lists this long non-coding RNA (1465 nucleotides) under Homo sapiens (human). Its description in RNAcentral is "HSALNT0242319". Lineage: Eukaryota; Metazoa; Chordata; Mammalia; Primates; Hominidae. The record is from RNAcentral.